Yarrowia lipolytica is the source of this 83-nucleotide transfer RNA. It matches the Rfam family "tRNA". Rfam says of the family: Transfer RNA (tRNA) molecules are approximately 80 nucleotides in length. NCBI's taxonomy places the organism in Eukaryota, Fungi, Ascomycota, Dipodascomycetes, Dipodascales. The record is from Rfam.
GCCUGGCUAGCUCAAUCGGUAGAGCGUGAGACUCUUAUUCUAAGGUCAUCUCAAGGCUGUGGGUUCAAGCCCCACGUCGGGCU